GAUGAACGCUGGCGGCGUGCCUAAUACAUGCAAGUCGAGCGAACAGACGAGGAGCUUGCUCCUCUGACGUUAGCGGCGGACGGGUGAGUAACAUGUGGAUAACCCACCUAUAAGACUGGGAAAACUUCGGGAAACCGGAGCAAAUACCGUAGAAUCUACUGAACCGCAUGGUUCAAUAGUGAAAGACGGUUUUGCUGUAACUAAUAGAUGGAUCUGCGCCGCAUUAGCUAGUUGGUAAGGUAACGGCUUACCAAGGCAACGAUGCGUAGACGAGUUGCGAGGGGGGUCGGCCACACGGGAACUGAGACACGGUCCAGACUCCUACGGGAGGCAGCAGUAGGGAAUCUUCCGCAAUGGGCGAAAGCCUGACGGAGCAACGCCGCGUGAGUGAUGAAGGUGUUCGGAUCGUAAAACUCUGUUAUUGGGGAUGAACAAAUGUGUAAGUAACUAUGCCCGUCUUGACGGUACCUAAUCAGGAAGCCACGGCUAACUACGUG
This 497-nucleotide ribosomal RNA is filed under the name uncultured bacterium. RNAcentral describes it as "partial 16S ribosomal RNA". It matches the Rfam family "Bacterial small subunit ribosomal RNA", at positions 28 to 507 of the family's 1533-position model. The record is from RNAcentral.